AAAUGAAUUGACGGGGGCCCGCACAAGCAGCGGAGCGUGUGGUUUAAUUCGAGGCUACACGAAAAACCUUACCUGGGUUUGACAUCCUGCGAACGACCGUGAAAGCGGAAGGUCCUUCGGGACGCAGAGACAGGUGCUGCAUGGCUGUCGUCAGCUCGUGUCGUGAGAUGUUCGGUUAAGUCCGAAAACGAGCGCAACCCUCGGUGCGUGUUACAAGUGUCACGCACAACUGCCGGCGGCAAGCCGGAGGAAGGUGGGGAUGACGUCAAGUCAGCAUGGCCUUUAUAUCCAGGGCUACACACACGCUACAAUGGACGGUACAGUGGGUCGCGAAGCCGCGAGGUGGAGCCAAUCCUAAAAAGCCGUUCGUAGUUCGGAUUGUAGGCUGCAACUCGCCUGCAUGAAGCUGGAGUUGCUAGUAACCGUGUAUCAGCAUGACACGGUGAAUACGUUCCCGGGCCUUGUACACACCGCCCGU
This 478-nucleotide ribosomal RNA is filed under the name uncultured bacterium. RNAcentral's name for it is "bacterial SSU rRNA". It matches the Rfam family "Bacterial small subunit ribosomal RNA", at positions 903 to 1397 of the family's 1533-position model. The record is from RNAcentral.